AACAGGAUUAGAUACCCUGGUAGUCCACGCCGUAAACGAUGUCGACUUGGAGGUUGUGCCCUUGAGGCGUGGCUUCCGGAGCUAACGCGUUAAGUCGACCGCCUGGGGAGUACGGCCGCAAGGUUAAAACUCAAAUGAAUUGACGGGGGCCCGCACAAGCGGUGGAGCAUGUGGUUUAAUUCGAUGCAACGCGAAGAACCUUACCUACUCUUGACAUCCAGAGAACUUUCCAGAGAUGGAUUGGUGCCUUCGGGAACUCUGAGACAGGUGCUGCAUGGCUGUCGUCAGCUCGUGUUGUGAAAUGUUGGGUUAAGUCCCGCAACGAGCGCAACCCUUAUCCUUUGUUGCCAGCGGUUAGGCCGGGAACUCAAAGGAGACUGCCAGUGAUAAACUGGAGGAAGGUGGGGAUGACGUCAAGUCAUCAUGGCCCUUACGAGUAGGGCUACACACGUGCUACAAUGGCGCAUACAAAGAGAAGCGACCUCGCGAGAGCAAGCGGACCUCAUAAAGUGCGUCGUAGUCCGGAUUGGAGUCUGCAACUCGACUCCAUGAAGUCGGAAUCGCUAGUAAUCGUAGAUCAGAAUGCUACGGUGAAUACGUUCCCGGGCCUUGUACACACCGCCCGUCACACCAUGGGAGUGGGUUGCAAAAGAAGUAGGUAGCUUAACCUUCGGGAGGGCGCUUACCACUUUGUGAUUCAUGACUGGGGUGAAGUCGUAACAAGGUAGCCGUA
This 733-nucleotide ribosomal RNA is filed under the name uncultured Gammaproteobacteria bacterium. RNAcentral describes it as "bacterial SSU rRNA". It matches the Rfam family "Bacterial small subunit ribosomal RNA", at positions 771 to 1504 of the family's 1533-position model. The record is from RNAcentral. Lineage: Bacteria; Pseudomonadati; Pseudomonadota; Gammaproteobacteria.